This 1104-nucleotide long non-coding RNA is filed under the name Homo sapiens (human). RNAcentral's name for it is "non-protein coding lnc-ACTR2-11:1". Lineage: Eukaryota; Metazoa; Chordata; Mammalia; Primates; Hominidae. The record is from RNAcentral.
CCUUCACUUCGCCCUCCAGCUGCUGCAGCUGCAGCCCGACCGCGAGCGUGCCAAGCGGCUUCAGCAGCUAGCGGAGCGGUGGCGGCGGCCCCGCUCAGGAGACCACCAGAUUCCCCUCUUCCCGCGGCCUCGCCAUGGCGACCCACGGACAGACUUGCGCGCGUCCAAUGUGUAUUCCUCCAUCAUAUGCUGACCUUGGCAAAGCUGCCAGAGAUAUUUUCAACAAAGGAUUUGGUUUUGGGUUGGUGAAACUGGAUGUGAAAACAAAGUCUUGCAGUGGCGUGGAAUUUUCAACGUCCGGUUCAUCUAAUACAGACACUGGUAAAGUUACUGGGACCCUGGAGACCAAAUACAAGUGGUGUGAGUAUGGUCUGACUUUCACAGAAAAGUGGAACACUGAUAACACUCUGGGAACAGAAAUCGCAAUUGAAGACCAGAUUUGUCAAGGUUUGAAACUGACAUUUGAUACUACCUUCUCACCAAACACAGGAAAGAAAAGUGGUAAAAUCAAGUCUUACAAGAGGGAGUGUAUAAACCUUGGUUGUGAUGUUGACUUUGAUUUUGCUGGACCUGCAAUCCAUGGUUCAGCUGUCUUUGGUUAUGAGGGCUGGCUUGCUGGCUACCAGAUGACCUUUGACAGUGCCAAAUCAAAGCUGACAAGGAAUAACUUUGCAGUGGGCUACAGGACUGGGGACUUCCAGCUACACACUAAUGUCAAUGAUGGGACAGAAUUUGGAGGAUCAAUUUAUCAGAAAGUUUGUGAAGAUCUUGACACUUCAGUAAACCUUGCUUGGACAUCAGGUACCAACUGCACUCGUUUUGGCAUUGCAGCUAAAUAUCAGUUGGAUCCCACUGCUUCCAUUUCUGCAAAAGUCAACAACUCUAGCUUAAUUGGAGUAGGCUAUACUCAGACUCUGAGGCCUGGUGUGAAGCUUACACUCUCUGCUCUGGUAGACGGGAAGAGCAUUAAUGCUGGAGGCCACAAGGUUGGGCUCGCCCUGGAGUUGGAGGCUUAAUCCAGCUGAAAGAAACCUUUGGGAAUGGAUAUCAGAAGAUUUGGCCUUAAUAUAUUUCCAUUGUGACCAGCAGCAGGCUUUUUUCCCC